GCAACCCUUGUCCUUAGUUACCAGCACGUUAUGGUGGGCACUCUAAGGAGACUGCCGGUGACAAACCGGAGGAAAGGUGGGGGAUGACGUCAAGUCAUCAUGGCCCUUACGGCCUGGGCUACACACGUGCUACAAUGGUCGGUACAAAGGGUUGCCAAGCCGCGAGGUGGAGCUAAUCCCAUAAAACCGAUCGUAGUCCGGAUCGCAGUCUGCAACUCGACUGCGUGAAGUCGGAAUCGCUAGUAAUCGUGAAUCAGAAUGUCACGGUGAAUACGUUCCCGGGCCUU
Molecule: ribosomal RNA, 287 nt
Filed under: uncultured Pseudomonas sp.
Lineage: Bacteria; Pseudomonadati; Pseudomonadota; Gammaproteobacteria; Pseudomonadales; Pseudomonadaceae
Description: partial 16S ribosomal RNA
Rfam family: Bacterial small subunit ribosomal RNA
Source: RNAcentral